GUCAGCCCUUUAUUUUCGACCAUCUAGUGGUCCAAAAAGUUUCAUACCACUGUCCAAAUCUUGAUCGGUAUGAUACAUACCUGGGGCAGAUUUCGCACAUCAGAGAAAAAACCGUAAACGGGCCCGGCCUAGUAGAGAGCCCAGUCCAAUAGAUUGGUCCAGCCCAACAACUACCGAUCGAAGAGGGUAAAGGCGAGAGUUCUAUCCCCUGGUUCUUCCAUCAGACCGUCACUGAGGUGCCGCCGCCAUUCUCUGCCCUUCCCCAACUCCGGCGACCGUCCCCUCGCCCCCUUCGUUCGGCAUGACGGUCUGAUGUAGACCUACCCCUUCCGCCAUUACAUUCCCUAAUACUGUCCCAGUGGCGCCGUGGCGGCGGCCUUGGCCCUUGGCAUCGGCAUGGGUCCAAGAUCGAAGGUGCCGUCGUCGUCGCUCGCCAAGGAGGCCAAGCCCACCCAGUGGCGGCGCCAGGAUAGAUGCUAGGAGCAACAUGUUGAGGCCAGGACGCCCGAAGAAGCCAAGAUCUCCUCAGUGAAGCCCUCAAAGCUCAAGGUUGGCUGAGUUGCAUAAGCUCCUUAUAGCCCAGGAGAGAUUAAAAUUAGCAUUGGUCUGUCGUGUUGCGGUAUUGGUUUGUUAGCUUAGUUGUAAACAGUAAAGGUGUACGAAAACCUUGUACCGAGAUCAAUUUAUUUUUACCAUAACAUAGUAGAAUAAUAUUAUGUACCGUAGAGGUGAAUUGAGGAAUAA
Long non-coding RNA from Lolium perenne, 744 nucleotides. RefSeq lists it as uncharacterized. The record is from RefSeq and is a predicted model, not a curated record. NCBI's taxonomy places the organism in Eukaryota, Viridiplantae, Streptophyta, Magnoliopsida, Poales, Poaceae.